This 253-nucleotide ribosomal RNA is filed under the name uncultured bacterium. RNAcentral describes it as "partial 16S ribosomal RNA". It matches the Rfam family "Bacterial small subunit ribosomal RNA", at positions 524 to 776 of the family's 1533-position model. The record is from RNAcentral.
UACGUAGGGAGCUAGCGUUGUUCGGAAUUACUGGGCGUAAAGGGCGCGUAGGCGGCCUGCUAAGUCGAACGUGAAAUCCCUGAGCUCAACUCGGGAACUGCGUCCGAUACUGGCAGGCUUGAAUCCGGGAGAGGGAUGCGGAAUUCCAGGUGUAGCGGUGAAAUGCGUAGAUAUCUGGAGGAACACCGGUGGCGAAGGCGGCAUCCUGGACCGGCAUUGACGCUGAGGCGCGAAAGCCAGGGGAGCAAACGGG